GAUGAACGCUGGCGGCGUGCCUAAUACAUGCAAGUCGAGCGAACAGACGAGGAGCUUGCUCCUCUGACGUUAGCGGCGGACGGGUGAGUAACACGUGGAUAGCCUACCUAUAAGACUGGGAUAACUUCGGGAAACCGGAGCUAAUACCGGAUAAUAUAUUGAACCGCAUGGUUCAAUAGUGAAAGACGGUUUUGCUGUCACUUAUAGAUGGAUCCGCGCCGCAUUAGCUAGUUGGUAAGGUAACGGCUUACCAAGGCAACGAUGCGUAGCCGACCUGAGAGGGUGAUCGGCCACACUGGAACUGAGACACGGUCCAGACUCCUACGGGAGGCAGCAGUAGGGAAUCUUCCGCAAUGGGCGAAAGCCUGACGGAGCAACGCCGCGUGAGUGAUGAAGGUCUUCGGAUCGUAAAACUCUGUUAUUAGGGAAGAACAAAUGUGUAAGUAACUAUGCACGCCUUGACGGUACCUAAUCAGAAAGCCACGGCUAACUACGUG
This 497-nucleotide ribosomal RNA is filed under the name uncultured bacterium. Its description in RNAcentral is "partial 16S ribosomal RNA". It matches the Rfam family "Bacterial small subunit ribosomal RNA", at positions 28 to 507 of the family's 1533-position model. The record is from RNAcentral.